CAAAGUACGAGAGUCAUGCUAUUAAUUGUCCAUAGCAGGGAUGGAGAGUGAGCUAGUGAGAGCCUCUUCAGUGUGGAUGGGGUAUAGCGGACAUUUUCAACAACAAAGACUGCACUUCCAGUUUGUGUUCUUUACUCUGAACUAUUUUGUCUUCAUUCUUAGUUACAGCACAUGGAACCACCGUUGGCAUGCAAAACAUUCAAUCUAAAACAAAACGUAACACGUUAUAAAUAAUAUCAAUGUAGAAUGACGAAUUAGCCAUCCAUUGUGUUAUAUCAUAAAUUGUCUUACAUGCCGUCACUGUUGUCAAAAGAUUAUAAACAUGUUAAAUAAAGUUACUAACCCAGUCA
Molecule: non-coding RNA, 350 nt
Organism: Salmo salar (Atlantic salmon)
Lineage: Eukaryota; Metazoa; Chordata; Actinopteri; Salmoniformes; Salmonidae
Source: RefSeq, a predicted model, not a curated record